GCUCCGCUCUGUCCAAACACUGAGGAAGUGAGACACCUAGGGGGCUGUGUCAUGUCAAACGGCUGUCUUCACUGUAUGACAGUGGAAGAGAAACAUUAUCGUUUGUGUGCAGCAUAAAUCUGAUAGGAACCACAUCAAUGGCUGAAGAAGAA
This is a long non-coding RNA of Austrofundulus limnaeus, 152 nucleotides long. RefSeq lists it as uncharacterized. The transcript is spliced from 2 exons. NCBI's taxonomy places the organism in Eukaryota, Metazoa, Chordata, Actinopteri, Cyprinodontiformes, Rivulidae. The record is from RefSeq and is a predicted model, not a curated record.